AAUUAUUAAAAAAAUAUAUAUAUAAUUUAAAUAUAUGUACCUUUCCAGUUAAGUGUCACAAAUUGAAUUAUGGGUAAUAUGAAAAUAUAUGGGAUAUGGAGAAACCCAUUGAAUUAUUCUGCCGUAAACACCGCAAUUAACCACCAGGGGGAGAUGUUCGGAAACUGCAUGCAAUCUUGUAUUUGACCAAAUGUAAACAAUUAUCAUUUUGUCUACGAACAUCCGAUCCAGACGCAUGAUACGUCUUUGGAAAGCCACAAAACGGCUUUUUUAUAUAAAAAAAUAACCCCUGCAUAUUGAGCUACAGGGCACAGCACGAGCAGUGAAACCGGGGUCCCCACAGACUUCUAUCAGGCGCGUUCACGGUCAUAACAAAGCCUACGUCAGCAUGCGCGCUUCACAGAAUGUCCGCCCCCAUGCUUGCCUGGAGUUUCACAUCGCAAUAGAGGAUUCGCCUCAGGUCUGUGACGAUGAGAAGGUCUCCACAGUCUGGAGUCUGGUCUCUGACAGGCUCAACAUACCUGUCAAUCAACAGGGACUCCUCUACAAAGGCAAGGCGCUGGCAGGUAGGCUGAACAGCACAGCACAGCUCACCCCUCCUCUCACCCCUCACCUCACCCCUCCUCUCAACACUCCUCGCACGCCUCGCCUCACCCCGGGUCAGUGUGGCAUAGCCUGCCUGCUCUUCUGAACAGACACUUCAGCCCUGCCGACGCAGUGACAGUCUGGAGCAGCAACACAAGGUGAUGAAGUGACACUUUGAAUAUGGGGCCUGAUGAGAGAAGUAUCCUUUUCAUGUGGUUUUGGUUUUGCCGUUGUGAGCAGGUGUGGGAGACAGCACCGUGUCUGCAUGUGAAAUAACAAAGUCAUCGCAGUGGAGGGACUCUCUGAAGGCUGCUGUUUGUGGAUUUGUCUUGUAAUGUGAUGAAGUGACACUUUGAAUAUGGGGCCUGAUGAGAGACGUAUCCUUUUCAUGUGGUUUUGGUUUUGCCGUUGUGAGCAGGUGUGGGAGACAGCACCGUGUCUGCAUGUGAAAUAACAAAGUCAUCGCAGUGGAGGGACUCUCUGAAGGCUGCUGUUUGUGGAUUUGUCUUGUAAUGUGAGUGAUCUACUGUACUGUGAUGCCACUGUCUGUACGCACGCUGCACUGUAGGGGAGACACCGCUGGCAUUCACAGGGCAUGCCUGUUCAUUUAAAGCACGCUGCACUGCAGGGGAGACACCGCUGGCAUUCACAGGGCAUGCCUGUUCAUUUAAAGCACGCUGCACUGUAGGGGAGACACCGCUGGCAUUCACAGGGCAUGCCUGUUCAUUUGAAGCACACUGCACUGUAGGGGAGACAACGCUGGCAUUCACAGGGCAUGCUUGUUCAUUUGAGGCACGCUGCACUGUAGGGGAGACACCGCUGGCAUUCACAGGGCAUGCUUGUUCAUUUGAAGCACACUGCACUGUAGGGGAGACAACGCUGGCAUUCACAGGGCAUGCUUGUUCAUUUAAAGCACGCUGCACUGUAGGGGAGACACCGCUGGCAUUCACAGGGCAUGCUUGUUCAUUUAAAGCAUGCUGGUGUGUGAUGUUUGCACAGUGAUUUUGUAUCUUAUUUUCAGGUGAAGUUUUGAAUGCAUCAAGUUGGAACACCUGGCUUAAGAUAAUGAACUCCACUUUUCAUAAUGAAAAUUGUUUAGUUUGCAUGAUUUGACAAUACAGGUGGAUUUAAUUAGACAACAAAACCACCCAUUACUCCAUAAACAAUGACUUGAACAGUCAUGAUCCUGUUUGACCAUGUUUCAGGAGACCUCUAGUGCUCAAGAUGCGCCAUGUGAGGGAAUAAUGCUAUUUUUAUUCUCAAACUUAUAUACCUCCCUUGAAUUACUUUACCACGACAUCUACACACACACACACACACACACACACACAGUGAGAGUCUGGAGCAGCAACACAAGGUAACCUGAAUACAAUAAACACACACACUGCUACACACACACACACACACACACAGUGAGAGUCUGGAGCAGCAACACAAGGUAACCUGAAUACAAUAAACACACACACUGUUACACACACAGACACACACACAGUGAGAGUCUGGAGCAGCAACACAAGGUAACCUGAACACAAUAAACACACACACUGCUACACACACACACACACUGCUACAAUGCACAUCGGAUUUAAAAGUAUGUUCUAUUGAGUGGCAAUAAAGAGUGCUGACUGUAUUUGAACCCGAAGUAACUGUUUGUUAAGGUAGUUAGUAACACUUGUGAUUGUAUUUAAUGAUUCUUUAUAUAGCCGUGAUUGUCUUGAUUUCAAUGCAGUUAAUUAAUGCAGAAGUUGUUCUUCCCUGCAACUAUUGUAAGGAUUAAUGCUGCCUCUUUCAACUUGGGGUGCAUGCUAUGUAUUUUUUGGGGGACCCUUGUGGGACAGGUAAAGUUGUAUAUAAUGUCCAACUAGGCUGAAAGCAUUUAUAGAUUGUUUAAUUUAUUUAUU
Acipenser ruthenus (sterlet) is the source of this 2486-nucleotide long non-coding RNA. RefSeq lists it as uncharacterized. Lineage: Eukaryota; Metazoa; Chordata; Actinopteri; Acipenseriformes; Acipenseridae. The transcript has 4 exons. The record is from RefSeq and is a predicted model, not a curated record.